RNAcentral lists this ribosomal RNA (400 nucleotides) under uncultured Haemophilus sp. Its description in RNAcentral is "bacterial SSU rRNA". It matches the Rfam family "Bacterial small subunit ribosomal RNA", at positions 74 to 475 of the family's 1533-position model. Lineage: Bacteria; Pseudomonadati; Pseudomonadota; Gammaproteobacteria; Pasteurellales; Pasteurellaceae. The record is from RNAcentral.
AAGUACUUGUACUUAUGCUGACGAGUGGCGGACGGGUGAGUAAUGCUUGGGGAUCUGGCUUAUGGAGGGGGAUAACGACGGGAAACUGUCGCUAAUACCGCGUAGAAUCGAGAGAUGAAAGUGUGGGACCUUCGGGCCACAUGCCAUAGGAUGAACCCAAGUGGGAUUAGGUAGUUGGUAGGGUAAUGGCCUACCAAGCCGACGAUCCCUAGCUGGUCUGAGAGGAUGACCAGCCACACCGGGACUGAGACACGGCCCGGACUCCUACGGGAGGCAGCAGUGGGGAAUAUUGCGCAAUGGGGGCAACCCUGACGCAGCCAUGCCGCGUGAAUGAAGAAGGCCUUCGGGUUGUAAAGUUCUUUCGGUGACGAGGAAGGUUGUUGUGUUAAUAGCGCAACAA